This 88-nucleotide transfer RNA is filed under the name Blastochloris tepida. RNAcentral's name for it is "Blastochloris sp. GI tRNA-Arg". Lineage: Bacteria; Pseudomonadati; Pseudomonadota; Alphaproteobacteria; Hyphomicrobiales; Blastochloridaceae. The record is from RNAcentral.
GCCGACAUGGCCGAGGCGGUGGAGCGCAUCGGCUCCUGGCUGAAGACGGGCUGAUCUUGGCCGCGGGUUCAGGCUCCCGCAGUCGGCU